RNAcentral lists this ribosomal RNA (253 nucleotides) under uncultured bacterium. RNAcentral's name for it is "partial 16S ribosomal RNA". It matches the Rfam family "Bacterial small subunit ribosomal RNA", at positions 524 to 776 of the family's 1533-position model. The record is from RNAcentral.
UACGUAGGGUGCAAGCGUUGUCCGGAAUUAUUGGGCGUAAAGAGCUCGUAGGCGGUCUGUCACGUCGGCUGUGAAGUCCCGAGGCUCAACCUCGGGUCUGCAGUCGAUACGGGCAAACUAGAGUAUUGCAGGGGAGACUGGAAUUCCUGGUGUAGCGGUGAAAUGCGCAGAUAUCAGGAGGAACACCGGUGGCGAAGGCGGGUCUCUGGGCAAUAACUGACGCUGAGGAGCGAAAGCGUGGGGAGCGAACAGG